Molecule: ribosomal RNA, 560 nt
Filed under: uncultured fungus
Lineage: Eukaryota; Fungi
Description: eukaryotic LSU rRNA
Rfam family: 5.8S ribosomal RNA (bases 160-313)
Source: RNAcentral
UAUGUGCACGCCACAUUUCCAAUCCCAUUUUACACCUGUGCACCUUUUGUAGUACUUACUUGAGGGAUAGAGUUUCAAAGCUCUUGAACUUAUAAGUACUACGUAUUUUUACACACACACACANAUAGUCAUUGAAUGUAAUAUUUUUAUAUGAAAAACAACUUUCAACAACGGAUCUCUUGGCUCUCGCAUCGAUGAAGAACGUAGCGAAUUACGAUAUGUAAUGUGAAUUGCAGAAUUCAGUGAAUCAUCGAAUCUUUGAACGCACCUUGCGCUCUUUGGUAUUCCGAAGAGCAUGCCUGUUUGAGUGUCAUGAAUCUCUCAAAUACAAAAUUUGAUUGUUUUGUAUUUGGACUUGGAAGCUUGUUGGCGCAAGUCAACUCUUCUCAAAUUCAUUAGCUGGGGUUUAUAUAGUGGAUCCUUGGUGUGAUAAUUAUCUACGCCUUGAAGUCCCUGUAGACUCUGCUUCAAACCGUCUUUUAAUGAGACAAUUUUGAAUCAUCUGGCCUCAAAUCAGGUAGGACUACCCGCUGAACUUAAGCAUAUCAAUAAGCGGAGGA